UCCCAGAUCAGGUUCCUUGUUGAGGAGCAGAAUUAGCCCCUGAAUCUGGUGCACUUGUUACCUUCUGGUCCUGGGAGGAGGCGGAGAGCAGCGAGCCAGAAAGAACAUAGGACACUACACAGCCUGCAGCAGCCAACCAACUAGCCGGUCGACCGGUCAGUCAGGCCACAGUUUCUCUUCAUGGUCACGGGAUCGCAGAGGAUCGUAUUCAGCGCAGCAAACAUAUUUCAAAGUGUGACGACACCGUUAUAGUUCUUUUUGGAGGGCGCUGGUCGGCACGGUAACCCGCAGAAGGUCGUGGUCUUCAAUGUGGAGCUCAGAUUGAGGCUGCAGCAGAGAGCGAGGCGACGCGUCUACCUGGAGGACCGCAGCGGCCCCCCCGCUCCCACAAACACCUGCAGCGCUGCCAGGAGACACCAGCUGA
Long non-coding RNA from Gadus macrocephalus (Pacific cod), 424 nucleotides. RefSeq lists it as uncharacterized. The record is from RefSeq and is a predicted model, not a curated record. The transcript is spliced from 3 exons. Lineage: Eukaryota; Metazoa; Chordata; Actinopteri; Gadiformes; Gadidae.